GCGCCUAUAGCUCAACUGGAUAGAGCGUCUGGCUACGGACCAGAAGGUUGUGGGUUCGAUUCCUGCUGGGCGCACCA
This 77-nucleotide transfer RNA is filed under the name Thermoclostridium stercorarium. RNAcentral describes it as "tRNA-Arg". It matches the Rfam family "tRNA". Rfam says of the family: Transfer RNA (tRNA) molecules are approximately 80 nucleotides in length. Their secondary structure includes four short double-helical elements and three loops (D, anti-codon, and T loops). RNAcentral also lists the same sequence under 3 other names. The record is from RNAcentral. Lineage: Bacteria; Bacillati; Bacillota; Clostridia; Eubacteriales; Oscillospiraceae.